AUUGAACGCUGGCGGCAGGCCUAACACAUGCAAGUCGAGCGGAUGAAGGGAGCUUGCUCCUGGAUUCAGCGGCGGACGGGUGAGUAAUGCCUAGGAAUCUGCCUGGUAGUGGGGGAUAACGUCCGGAAACGGGCGCUAAUACCGCAUACGUCCUGAGGGAGAAAGUGGGGGAUCUUCGGACCUCACGCUAUCAGAUGAGCCUAGGUCGGAUUAGCUAGUUGGUGGGGUAGAGGCCUACCAAGGCGACGAUCCGUAACUGGUCUGAGAGGAUGAUCAGUCACACUGGAACUGAGACGCGGUCCAGACUCCUACGGGAGGCAGCAGUAGGGAAUAUUGGACAAUGGGCGAAAGCCUGAUCCAGCCAUGACGCGUGUGUGAAGAAGGUCUUCGGAUUGUAAAGCACUUUAAGUUGGGAGGAAGGGCAGUAAGUUAAUACCUUGCUGUUUUGACGGUACCAACAGAAUAAGCACCGGCUAACUUCGUG
RNAcentral lists this ribosomal RNA (484 nucleotides) under uncultured bacterium. RNAcentral describes it as "partial 16S ribosomal RNA". It matches the Rfam family "Bacterial small subunit ribosomal RNA", at positions 30 to 507 of the family's 1533-position model. The record is from RNAcentral.